Molecule: unclassified non-coding RNA, 310 nt
Filed under: Hevea brasiliensis (rubber tree)
Lineage: Eukaryota; Viridiplantae; Streptophyta; Magnoliopsida; Malpighiales; Euphorbiaceae
Source: RNAcentral
AUAUCAAUUUGGUUCGUGGUAUAUAAAAUGCAAUUAUCCAGAUAUCUAAAAUACCCAAUUGAUAUAAUUUAUGUACCCGUUCCGAAUUGGCGUACCAACUAAGUCUACUCCCCAUUGUAUCCUAUAUCUAGUUAAGUGGCGGAUUGCGUGCCUAUACCCGUAUCGCGACCCAACCACCAUCUUUAGUCUCUAUUUCCCUCUUCCUGAUCUUUUCUUUAUUAACAUCUAGUUUAAGCAUACUUAUUCUCUGGUCAUUGAUUUGAAUAUUCUUUUUUUUUUUCCUUGCAGAACUCUAUGUAGAUGGCGAAGA